UUUAAGAAGGGGAACCGGCAGUGAGUAGGCGGAUUGGAAUGUGAGAGGAACCCCUAUGCAGAUACUGAGGUCAGUGAAGAAUGAGGGUGAGGAGGUGCGCCUGAGGAGGUUGAUGCCCCUGCAGCCUGUGGUGAGACGGCAGGCUGUCCCCCUGCAGCCCAUGGAGGUGAGCAGGGGAGCAAAUGCCCACCUACAGCCCAUGGAGAACCUCACACUGGAACAGGGGGAUGCCCCCAACGAUGGCCGUGACUCCAUGGGAAAGCCCGUGCUGGAGCAGUCUGUUGACUGAAGUCCAUGGAAAGGACCCAUGCCAGAGAA
Long non-coding RNA from Aquila chrysaetos chrysaetos, 318 nucleotides. RefSeq lists it as uncharacterized. NCBI's taxonomy places the organism in Eukaryota, Metazoa, Chordata, Aves, Accipitriformes, Accipitridae. The transcript is spliced from 3 exons. The record is from RefSeq and is a predicted model, not a curated record.